AAGUCGUAACAAGGUCUCCGUUGGUGAACCAGCGGAGGGAUCAUUACAGAGUUAUCUAACUCCCAAACCCAUGUGAACUUACCAUUGUUGCCUCGGCAGAACCUACCUGGUACCUACCCUGUAACGACCUACGCUGUAGCGAGUUACCCGAGAAGACCUACCCUGUAGUGCGCUGCCGGUGGACUUCUUAACUCUUGUUAUUUUAUAGUAAUCUGAGCGUCUUAUUUUAAUAAGUCAAAA
Molecule: unclassified non-coding RNA, 240 nt
Filed under: plant metagenome
Description: partial contains small subunit ribosomal RNA and internal transcribed spacer 1
Rfam family: Eukaryotic small subunit ribosomal RNA (bases 1-46)
Source: RNAcentral